Molecule: long non-coding RNA, 454 nt
Filed under: Dromaius novaehollandiae (emu)
Lineage: Eukaryota; Metazoa; Chordata; Aves; Casuariiformes; Dromaiidae
Description: lncRNA (ENSDNVG00000002823.1)
Source: RNAcentral
UAUCAAACUAGAAAAGCCUUCAGCUAUUACAGCACCUUGAGCCUCUGUGGAYGAUCUCUGAGAAAAAGCAAUGAUUCCUAACCUGACUGCCCAGGUAGGUAGGCAGUUCUGCCUCUUUUCUCUCCAACACAACACAGGAAUCCUUCUGCAGCACUCAGCUCUUCAGAGGCAUUACAAGGCUGCUUCUCACUGCUUCUGGAGGAGUAGUGAUCUUUGUCUUCCCCUGAACAUAGCCUCCAAAGCACCAUCCAUCUCUGGGACCACACUGCUGCCUUGCAGUCCAGAUACACCUGGUGGUGUCCUAACGUAUCCAGCAGGGUUGAACAUGCCGUUAGAUCACUAAAAUGACUGAGGAUAAAAGCCAAAGACUUUGAAGAAUUUUCCUGGAAAAAGAAAAAAGAAAAGGAAAACUCUCCAAAACCUCUGCAUGAAAUAAACCCAUUAAAAUUGAACA